This 573-nucleotide ribosomal RNA is filed under the name Phyllodytes gyrinaethes. RNAcentral's name for it is "partial 16S ribosomal RNA". Lineage: Eukaryota; Metazoa; Chordata; Amphibia; Anura; Hylidae. The record is from RNAcentral.
UAGCUGGUUUCUCAGGAAAAGGAUUUUAGUCCAACCUAAAGUUCCACAAAUUUAACAAAAUUAAUCUUAAACUUUAGAGUAAUUCAAUUAAGGGACAGCUUACUUGAAAAAGGAUACAACCUAAACUAAUGGGUAUUUACAACUAACAUAACUAAGUGGGCCUAAAAGCAGCCAUCUUCAAGACAGCCCUAAAGCUCUACUACACAAUUAAUUUAAUCUCUUAAAACAAAUUUAACCCUUUAAUAUUACCGAGAAAUUCUAUUCACUUAUAGAAUCUAUAAUGUUAAAACAAGUAACAAGAAGAAGACUCUUCUCUUAAAUAUAAAUAUAAACCAAUAAGGACCCACCGCUGGUAAUUACACAUCAAUGAAAUACGCUAACAACCCUACAAGAAAAAUCUAGCAAAUUAAAUGUUAACCUUACACAAGUAUAUUUUAAGAAAGAUUAAAAGAAAAAGAAGGAACUCGGCAAAUUCUUGCCCUCGCCUGUUUACCAAAAACAUCGCCUUUUGAUUAUUAUAAAAGGUCCAGCCUGCCCAGUGACUUGUUUAACGGCCGCGGUAUCCUGACCGUG